This 1340-nucleotide unclassified non-coding RNA is filed under the name Hevea brasiliensis (rubber tree). Lineage: Eukaryota; Viridiplantae; Streptophyta; Magnoliopsida; Malpighiales; Euphorbiaceae. The record is from RNAcentral.
GCUGCUGCUGGUGCUUGCACUGCCGUUGUGACCCAGCCCCUAGAUACGGCCUCCUCAAGGAUGCAGACAAGUGCUUUUGGCAAAUCAAAAGGACUUUGGCAGACUUUGACUGAGGGCACUUGGAGUGAUGCAUUUGAUGGCCUUGGCAUCUCUCUUUUGCUGACCUCAAAUCCUGCAAUUCAGUAUACAGUGUUUGAUCAACUCAAACAAAGACUUCUCAAGGGAAAGGAAGAUGCUGCAGACAAGGGUUCCUCUGUUGAAGCCCUUUCUGCCUUCACAGCUUUUGUUCUGGGUGCAAUUUCAAAGAGUGCUGCCACCUUCAUUACAUAUCCUGCAAUCAGGUGUAAGGUGAUGAUUCAAGCAGCAGAUUCAGAUGAUGAUGAAAACAAGAAAGGUCAACCGGAAUCCAGUAAAACAGUGCCUGCAGUUGUGUGUGCGAUAUGGAGAAGAGAAGGAUUUUUGGGAUUUUUCAAGGGAUUGCAAGCCCAGAUCUUGAAGACUGUGCUGAGCUCAGCAUUGCUUUUGAUGAUCAAAGAGAAAAUUACCAGAAGUACUUGGGUUCUCAUACUUGCGAUCAGAAGGUAUCUAUUGCUUACAAGGGGCAGAAUAAAAAGUGCCUGAUGGCAAUAAAUCAUUGAUAAUAUGCUUUAGUUCUUUGUAAAUAGAGUGGCUUUAAUUGGAUGCCAAGAAAUAGAUGGAUUUUAUGAGAGCCAGGUUCAAUUCCUCAAACAGGAAGGUCAAUGGUGAAAAAUAAAUACUUGAAGUCCAAGGGUAAACGGUACUGAAUCAAGGCUACAUAUUUUAUCCUUAGGGUAAGAUAUAGUUUGCGAGAAAUAAUCUGAAGCAGGAAUUCUUACUUUGCAGGGAGACUGAUUAAUACCCGUAUAAACUGUGACUUGUAUUGUUUUCAAUUCAGUUCAUAUUUCAUUUUCUUCUUAUUAUUACCAGUUGUAUAUAAAUAUGUUUGUGCUUUUCUGGUUAAUUGUGUUCAAUGGUUUUCAGAGGGAGGUUCCUUGAUAAUCAUUUUGGAUACUGAUAGGGAUUUAGUUUUAAGCAGAGUUGAAUGAUGAUAAUACUAAUUGUUUAGAAUUAAGAUUUAGUUGUUGUGUUUGUUGGGGGGAAAAUGCAUUGGAAAAUAUUCCUACAUGCGAAUUCAUUUUCUGUCUGUAAGUAUUGUAUAAAAUCUUAGUAGAUUUAUUGCGUAAUAGUUGUCAAAAUAUAAUUAUUUAAUAUUUUUCUAAUUUCUUUAUUUGCACUCUCUUAAAAUGUAAUAAAAGUAUUUAUUUAAAGCUUGAUCCCAUUUUUGUUUCACUAUUUCAUUGAAGGCCUUUUUGGAUUUA